GCUGGGGGCAGUGGUGUACUCCUGUAAUCCCAGGGGCUUGGAGGCAGAGGCAGGAGGAUCAUGAGUUCAAAGCCAGCCUCAGCAAUUUAGCGAGGUACUAAGCAACUCAGUGAGACCCUGUUUCUA
Molecule: small RNA, 126 nt
Filed under: Marmota monax (woodchuck)
Lineage: Eukaryota; Metazoa; Chordata; Mammalia; Rodentia; Sciuridae
Source: RNAcentral